Stegodyphus mimosarum is the source of this 71-nucleotide non-coding RNA. Lineage: Eukaryota; Metazoa; Arthropoda; Arachnida; Araneae; Eresidae. The record is from Rfam.
GCCUUCGUGGAGUAACGGUAGCACACUCGGCGCGUAUUCGAGAGAUCCAGGUUCGAGUCCCGGCGAUGGCA